UCUAGGAGGUUGAGGUGUAGCAGUGGUGAGUCUGUUUAGCUACUCUACAAUUUUGUUCAGGCUAUGGGCUACCUUAGAUGAGGAGACAAGUAGGAUAUCGUUGAUCUUUUGAUUCUGCUCCUUGAGUUGGCUAACUCCCUCCUCCACUUCGGUGCUAAGCGUUUCAGCAACUGUCUUACAUUCAAGUUUUCUUCAAAUCCUUGCCCUCUGAUUCCAAAUUGCUCACCUUUAGAUAUAGAGAGUCCACUUUUGCGUUGAUAGCACUAAGUUGGUAGCUGAU
This 280-nucleotide long non-coding RNA is filed under the name Phoenix dactylifera (date palm). RNAcentral describes it as "long non-coding RNA (PDAC_LNC009839)". The record is from RNAcentral. Lineage: Eukaryota; Viridiplantae; Streptophyta; Magnoliopsida; Arecales; Arecaceae.